CAAGGUAACACAAAUCUGGUUGGUCACAGUAAGAAUAAGAACUCACAGUUGCGUGUUGUUUACCUUUCCACUGUAAAUUAAUGAACAAAAGCCUUAUAAUUGCUUUGCUUGUGUGAACUCAGUCCUCACAAUAACCCAGUGAGGAUUGUUCUCUUCUGUUUUGUUUUGUUAUGUUUUGUUUUGUUUUGAGACAGGGUCUCACUCUGUCUCCCAGGCUGGAGUGCAGUGGCACAAUCUCAGCUCACUGCAACCUCUGCCUCGCGGAUUCAGGUGAUUCUGGUGUCUCAGUCUCUUGAGUACCUGGGAUUACAGGCUCACUACACCACACCUGGCUAAUUUUUUGUAUUUUUAGUAGAGACGGGGUUUCACCAUGUUGGCCAGCCUGAUCUCGUACUCCUAACCUCAGGUAAUCUGCCCACCUCAGCCUCCCAAAGUGCUGGGAUUACAGGUGUGAACCACUAUGCCCGGUGAGGAUUGUUCUUAUCACAUUCUUAUCACCAUUUUACAGAGGAAGAAGCGUCUGGGGAGAUCAAGUGACUUGCUCAGGCAGCUGGGAAGUGGCAGAGAAAGGAUUAGAACUCAGGACCGGCUCUGGGUUUCCAACAUUGUAUUACCUCUGGUAGGUGGUCUGACUGGACAACUCAGCUCCAUAAUGUGUCAGUUAACAAACUGUUGACAAGGACCAUUUGAGGAAGAAAUAUGAAUUCCAGUUGUUGUCUGAAAAACUCCCAUUGAUACUUCUGGUAAGAUUAAGAACGUGCCAGCAUUAAAACUUGCAGACUGAGGUGAACAGCAUGGAGGAAAACUCUGAUGACGAUAGUGGAACCCUCUAUAAAGAAAAAGCUGUUAUCACCAAUUCCACGGUACAAUGGAUGACACGGUGUGGAAAAACCAAAACAAACAUGGACCUCCUUGGCUGUGAGUCAAAAGUGAUUUAGAAUUGGAUUCUGAACACAAAGGGGUUUUAGGAACAUGCUACCAAUUUGUUUUGCUUCUAUUUCCCCCAUUUUUUAUGAGUGUGUAAGAACAAUGUGAUAAAAAUGUGAACAAAUAAGUCUAAGAGAGCUCUUCAAGUAGGUAUAAAAGAAAAAAUAUAAGUGACAAGAAAGCCUUGUGCCAUAGUUUAAUUGGUAGUGAUUUUUUCUUUCUUUGGGCUACAGAAAAUAGGAAUAAAUUGACGUUGAAUCUCACAAACAUAAUGUUGACUGAUAGAAGUCAUAAACAAAAGAUGAUAGGAUGUAUGAUGCUGCUUUCAUAAAGUUCAAGAAAGCAAGUAAAACCAAGAUGGAU
This 1290-nucleotide long non-coding RNA is filed under the name Papio anubis (olive baboon). RNAcentral's name for it is "lncRNA (ENSPANG00000041777.1)". The record is from RNAcentral. Lineage: Eukaryota; Metazoa; Chordata; Mammalia; Primates; Cercopithecidae.